UACGAAGGGGGCUAGCGUUGUUCGGAAUCACUGGGCGUAAAGCGCACGUAGGCGGCUUGUUAAGUCGGGGGUGAAAUCCUGAGGCUCAACCUCAGAACUGCCUUCGAUACUGGCAAUCUCGAGUCCGGAAGAGGUUGGUGGAACAGCUAGUGUAGAGGUGAAAUUCGUAGAUAUUAGCUAGAACACCAGUGGCGAAGGCGGCCAGCUGGUCCGGUACUGACGCUGAGGUGCGAAAGCGUGGGGAGCAAACGGG
This 253-nucleotide ribosomal RNA is filed under the name uncultured bacterium. Its description in RNAcentral is "partial 16S ribosomal RNA". It matches the Rfam family "Bacterial small subunit ribosomal RNA", at positions 524 to 776 of the family's 1533-position model. The record is from RNAcentral.